RNAcentral lists this ribosomal RNA (582 nucleotides) under uncultured bacterium. Its description in RNAcentral is "bacterial SSU rRNA". It matches the Rfam family "Bacterial small subunit ribosomal RNA", at positions 338 to 916 of the family's 1533-position model. The record is from RNAcentral.
CCUACGGGAGGCAGCAGUGAGGAAUAUUGGACAAUGGGCGCAAGCCUGAUCCAGCCAUGCCGCGUGCAGGAAGAAGCAUCUAUGGUGUGUAAACUGCUUUUGUACAGGAAGAAACACUCCCUCGUGAGGGAGCUUGACGGUACUGUAAGAAUAAGGACCGGCUAACUCCGUGCCAGCAGCCGCGGUAAUACGGAGGGUCCGAGCGUUAUCCGGAAUCAUUGGGGUUUAAAGGGUCCGUAGGCGGUUUAAUAAGUCAGUGGUGAAAUCUGGUCGCUCAACGAUCAAACGGCCAUUGAUACUGUUAGACUUGAAUUAUAAGGAAGUAACUAGAAUAUGUAGUGUAGCGGUGAAAUGCUUAGAUAUUACAUGGAAUACCAAUUGCGAAGGCAGGUUACUACUUAUGGAUUGACGCUGAUGGACGAAAGCGUGGGGAGCGAACAGGAUUAGAUACCCUGGUAGUCCACGCCGUAAACGAUGGAUACUAGCUGUUCGGAGCAAUCUGAGUGGCUAAGCGAAAGUGAGUAAGUAUCCCACCUGGGGAGUACGGUUCGCGAAGAAUUGAAACUUCAAAGGAAUUGACGG